GCGCAUCUGGUGUAGUGGUAUCAUAGCACCCUCUCACGAUACUGACCGGGGUUCGAUUCCUCGGAUGCGCA
This 71-nucleotide transfer RNA is filed under the name Solanum lycopersicum (tomato). It matches the Rfam family "tRNA". Rfam says of the family: Transfer RNA (tRNA) molecules are approximately 80 nucleotides in length. Their secondary structure includes four short double-helical elements and three loops (D, anti-codon, and T loops). Lineage: Eukaryota; Viridiplantae; Streptophyta; Magnoliopsida; Solanales; Solanaceae. The record is from Rfam by way of RNAcentral.